Molecule: ribosomal RNA, 508 nt
Filed under: uncultured bacterium
Lineage: Bacteria
Description: partial 16S ribosomal RNA
Rfam family: Bacterial small subunit ribosomal RNA
Source: RNAcentral
GACGAACGCUGGCGGCGGGCCUAAUACAUGCAAGUCGAACGCUUCUUUCCUCCCGAGUGCUUGCACUCAAUUGGAAAGAGGAGUGGCGGACGGGUGAGUAACACGUGGGUAACCUACCCAUCAGAGGGGGAUAACACUUGGAAACAGGUGCUAAUACCGCAUAACAGUUUAUGCCGCAUGGCAUAAGAGUGAAAGGCGCUUUCGGGUGUCGCUGAUGGAUGGACCCGCGGUGCAUUAGCUAGUUGGUGAGGUAACGGCUCACCAAGGCCACGAUGCAUAGCCGACCUGAGAGGGUGAUCGGCCACACUGGGACUGAGACACGGCCCAGACUCCUACGGGAGGCAGCAGUAGGGAAUCUUCGGCAAUGGACGAAAGUCUGACCGAGCAACGCCGCGUGAGUGAAGAAGGUUUUCGGAUCGUAAAACUCUGUUGUUAGAGAAGAACAAGGACGUUAGUAACUGAACGUCCCCUGACGGUAUCUAACCAGAAAGCCACGGCUAACUACGUG